GAUGAACGCUGGCGGUAUGCUUAACACAUGCAAGUCGAACGGACUCUUCGGAGUUUGUGGCGGACGGGUGAGUAACGCGUGAGACUCUGGCUUUGGGUUCGGGACAACCACUGGAAACGGUGGCUAAUACGGAAUCUGCCGGGAGGUAAGAUAGAAAUUGCCUGAAUAUGAGCUCGCGUCUGAUUAGCUAUUUGGUGAGGUAAAGACUCACAACGGCAGCGAGCAUUAGCUGGUCUGAGAGGAUGACCAGCCACACUGGGACUGCGACACGGCCCAGACGCCUACGGGAGGCAGCAGUGGAGAAUUUCCCGCAAUGGGCGAAAGACUGACGGAGCAAUACCGCGUGAGGGAAGAAGGCUCUUGGGUUGAAAACCUCUGUUCUUAGGGAAGAACAAAAUGACGGUACCUAAGGAAUCAGCAUCGGCUAACUCCGUG
RNAcentral lists this ribosomal RNA (435 nucleotides) under uncultured bacterium. Its description in RNAcentral is "partial 16S ribosomal RNA". It matches the Rfam family "Bacterial small subunit ribosomal RNA", at positions 28 to 507 of the family's 1533-position model. The record is from RNAcentral.